Molecule: non-coding RNA, 462 nt
Organism: Cinara cedri
Lineage: Eukaryota; Metazoa; Arthropoda; Insecta; Hemiptera; Aphididae
Source: the annotation of a GenBank genome assembly
GCUUCUUUUCGGGCUUUCCGGUCUUUUUUUUCUUUUUCUUUUUUUUUUUACUAUACCAUAUUACCGCCGUGCGCACAUUUUAGCUCAUUUCGUUUAUAUAGAGUAGAAUGAUAUUAUUAUCUUAUUCUUUUUUCGCGGUGCAUCAUAAUGUUAUACGCACGGUAGUACGAUUUUAAAAUCGCGGUUACCGAUUGCGAGAACUUUUAAAAUGUUAUUCCUUACAUAAUAUAAAAUUAAUAUUUUUAUUAUUACUAAGGAUGGGCGAUUUAAUAACUCCGACACUCGACAAUACAUUCGAUAUUCUAGAGAAAGUAUUAAUAUCGAAAUCGAGGUAUUUUUUUUUCUAUCCAUUUUGGUAUUGUAUUAUUUUAAAACGAACCUUUCAUACCUGCACGUUAUGGUUAAAUAGAUUAAAUAAAAUAAAUUACCUAGUUAUUAGAUUUGGAGGGUAGCGAGAGAUAU